UGGAGCCUACUGCCGGGGAAGAUCGGGACGCAGACCGACGCAAACCAACCAUUAAAAAAAUGCAUCCAGUGGGAAUUUUUCCACUCGGGCCCUGGGCUGCCGAGUGGCGGCAGACUCGGAGCGGUUCACCGGUCGACGCGGACUCGGGGCGGUUUCGGAAGGAUCCCACCGUCGGGGGCGCGGACUAGGCUCCCAGCGCAUUGUUAGCAGAAGGGCGCCCCCGGACAGCGCGCCUCGGCCCUUUGCUCCUGGAGAGCUCCCGGCGCCCUCCCGGGGCCGGGACCGGCGGCACCCUAGGCCACCUAUCCGCGCCUUCUAGGGUCAGACCCCUCGCACUUUACCUGGACCGGAUGGCCCAAGUCCCGGCGCUCGGCCAGAGCCGCCUAUGCAGUGCUACUCCGAGCGCCGAGAAACCUACACUACCGCAGGACGUUCCCUCCACGCUGGUCCGCAGGUCUCCAGAGCGCAGCACGCAAGAUCGCCGCACAGACUCAGACUUCCCCCCGGGUGAGCCCCCGGGGUCAGUGCUCGGGACCACCAUCCCCACCCGGCCAGGAGGCCAGCCGGCCCUCGGCCCGCCUUGUCGGUCCCCGCCAUCCGGAGACCUCCCCCCGUCCCCCCGCAGUGCCGCCGAACGCUCCAGUUGGGGCAGCCUCAGGAGUCCAGGCGCAGUGAGGGGACCCCCACCCCACCCCCGGGCGCUCUCGGCCUGACUCCCUUCUCCCCAACCUCCAAGACAGGUUACCUUUUCCACGCUCUCCAGACCACGCUUUGGACUUUUUCACUUUUAUUUAAGAGUCCACCCGGGGAAGGAGGAAAAAAAAAAUCCAGAGGAGAUCCGAGUCAAUUGGAAAGAAAAAAAAAAAAAAAAUUCAAAAGGGUGUCCACAGCGGCGAAAAAGAUUAAACACCUCUUACCCGCGCCUAGGCUCCAGGACCUGUCCUCCCCAAAAGAAAUGAGACGAGGGCCGAACGCAAAAGUGGCGCUUCCUGAGAGUCGCACCCCAUCGCGGUGGCCACGUGCCGGCAGACGGUCCCACACUUCGGUGGCAUUCGCGGACGCAGGAGGGAGCUCGGCGCGGGCACGCAGGUGGGGGUGG
Leptonychotes weddellii (Weddell seal) is the source of this 1099-nucleotide non-coding RNA. The record is from RefSeq and is a predicted model, not a curated record. Lineage: Eukaryota; Metazoa; Chordata; Mammalia; Carnivora; Phocidae.